Molecule: ribosomal RNA, 1331 nt
Filed under: Christensenella hongkongensis
Lineage: Bacteria; Bacillati; Bacillota; Clostridia; Christensenellales; Christensenellaceae
Description: bacterial SSU rRNA
Rfam family: Bacterial small subunit ribosomal RNA
Source: RNAcentral
GAAGUUGCUCUUUGGGAAGCCCUCGGGUGGAACUGUGAGUAUACUUAGUGGCGGACGGGUGAGUAACGCGUGAGCAAUCUGCCCUGCAAUGGGGGACAACAGUUGGAAACGACUGCUAAUACCGCAUAAGACCACGAAACCGCAUGGUUUAGAGGUAAAAGGAUUCAUUCGAUGCAGGAUGAGCUCGCGUCCCAUUAGAUAGUUGGUGAGGUAACGGCCCACCAAGUCAACGAUGGGUAGCCGACCUGAGAGGGUGAUCGGCCACAUUGGAACUGAGAAACGGUCCAAACUCCUACGGGAGGCAGCAGUGGGGAAUAUUGGGCAAUGGGGGAAACCCUGACCCAGCAACGCCGCGUGAAGGAAGAAGGCCUUCGGGUUGUAAACUUUUGUCCUAUGGGACGAAAAAAAUGACGGUACCAUAGGAGGAAGCUCCGGCUAACUACGUGCCAGCAGCCGCGGUAAUACGUAGGGAGCAAGCGUUGUCCGGAAUUACUGGGCGUAAAGGGUGCGUAGGUGGCCAUGUAAGUCAGGUGUGAAAGACCGGGGCUCAACCCCGGGGUUGCACUUGAAACUGUGUGGCUUGAGUACAGGAGAGGGAAGUGGAAUUCCUAGUGUAGCGGUGAAAUGCGUAGAUAUUAGGAGGAACACCAGUGGCGAAGGCGACUUUCUGGACUGUAACUGACACUGAGGCACGAAAGCGUGGGGAGCAAACAGGAUUAGAUACCCUGGUAGUCCACGCCGUAAACGAUGGAUACUAGGUGUGGGGGGCGAUAGUCCUCCGUGCCGAAGCUAACGCAUUAAGUAUCCCGCCUGGGGAGUACGAUCGCAAGGUUGAAACUCAAAGGAAUUGACGGGGGCCCGCACAAGCAGCGGAGCAUGUGGUUUAAUUCGAAGCAACGCGAAGAACCUUACCAAGGCUUGACAUCCUCUGACGCAUAUAGAGAUAUAUGUUCCCUUCGGGGCAGAGAGACAGGUGGUGCAUGGUUGUCGUCAGCUCGUGUCGUGAGAUGUUGGGUUAAGUCCCGCAACGAGCGCAACCCUUGUUGCUAGUUGCCAGCACGUAAAGGUGGGAACUCUAGUGAGACUGCCGGGGACAACUCGGAGGAAGGUGGGGACGACGUCAAAUCAUCAUGCCCCUUAUGUCUUGGGCUACACACGUGCUACAAUGGCCGGUACAAAGGGCAGCGACCUCGUAAGAGUAAGCGAAUCUCAAAAAGCCGGCCCCAGUUCGGAUUGUGGGCUGCAACCCGCCCACAUGAAGUCGGAGUUGCUAGUAAUCGCGAAUCAGCAUGUCGCGGUGAAUGCGUUCCCGGGCCUUGUACACACCGCCC